GUUAAAACCCACAGGAGCACAACUCGUUUGAAAAUCAGUAAUUACCGUAAACUUUUUCGGGAGAAAAUUGAAUUUGAAUAUUACAUUUCAAUGUUUUUCUUAUUCCAGCGAAAUGUAUUUUAUUAAAUAACUCUGCGAGUUUUCAACAUUUUUCGUUCAAACUAGGUCAGAUAGUAGAACUAGUCUAAUGCUUUCAUGGAAACCAAUAAAAAAAUUUUAGGCAAAAUUAACACUCAAAG
Non-coding RNA from Paramuricea clavata, 239 nucleotides. The record is from the annotation of a GenBank genome assembly. NCBI's taxonomy places the organism in Eukaryota, Metazoa, Cnidaria, Anthozoa, Malacalcyonacea, Plexauridae.